Molecule: ribosomal RNA, 253 nt
Filed under: uncultured bacterium
Lineage: Bacteria
Description: partial 16S ribosomal RNA
Rfam family: Bacterial small subunit ribosomal RNA
Source: RNAcentral
UACGUAGGGUGCAAGCGUUGUCCGGAAUUAUUGGGCGUAAAGAGCUCGUAGGCGGUUUGUCGCGUCUGCUGUGAAAACUCGGGGCUUAACUCCGGGCCUGCAGUGGGUACGGGCAGACUAGAGUGCGGUAGGGGAGACUGGAAUUCCUGGUGUAGCGGUGAAAUGCGCAGAUAUCAGGAGGAACACCGGUGGCGAAGGCGGGUCUCUGGGCCGUAACUGACGCUGAGGAGCGAAAGCGUGGGUAGCGAACAGG